Pelobates cultripes (western spadefoot toad) is the source of this 219-nucleotide non-coding RNA. The record is from the annotation of a GenBank genome assembly. Lineage: Eukaryota; Metazoa; Chordata; Amphibia; Anura; Pelobatidae.
UGAAUUUUAGGUAGGUGAGAAGGAAAUCCGAAGAGUAGUUUAGGUAUCAUAGGUAGUCCUGUUUGAGAGUUGGUUAUCCGUCGGUGUUUUCCUUGUGGAGGAUUGUAGUUGUGGGAGUCAAAGUCCUUUUAUUGUCCGGGUCGAAGAUAUGCAGAUAGUGGUAAGUCCAUAAAUUAGGUAGAGUAGGUUUUGGGGUAUCUGGAACUGGUUUCUUUUUGG